GAUGAACGCUGGCGGCGUGCCUAAUACAUGCAAGUCGAGCGAACAGAUGAGGAGCUUGCUCCUCUGACGUUAGCGGCGGACGGGUGAGUAACACGUGGAUAACCUACCUAUAAGACUGGGAUAACUUCGGGAAACCGGAGCUACUACCGGCUAAUAUAUUGAACCGCAUGGUUCAAUAGUGAAAGACGGUUUUGCUGUCACUUAUAGAUGGAUCCGCGCCGCAUUAGCUAGUUGGUAAGGUAACGGCUUACCAAGGCAACGAUGCGUAGCCGACCUGAGAGGGUGAUCGGCCACACUGGAACUGAGACACGGCCCAGACUCCUACGGGAGGCAGCAGUAGGGAAUCUUCCGCAAUGGGCGAAAGCCUGACGGAGCAACGCCGCGUGAGUGAUGAAGGUCUUCGGAUCGUAAAACUCUGUUAUUAGGGAAGAACAAAUGUGUAAGUAAAUAUGCACGUCUUGACGGUACCUAAUCAGAAAGCAACGGCUAACUACGUG
RNAcentral lists this ribosomal RNA (497 nucleotides) under uncultured bacterium. Its description in RNAcentral is "partial 16S ribosomal RNA". It matches the Rfam family "Bacterial small subunit ribosomal RNA", at positions 28 to 507 of the family's 1533-position model. The record is from RNAcentral.